GACGAACGCUGGCGGCGUGCCUAAUACAUGCAAGUAGAACGCUGAAGAGAGGAGCUUGCUCUUCUUGGAUGAGUUGCGAACGGGUGAGUAACGCGUAGGUAACCUGCCUGGUAGCGGGGGAUAACUAUUGGAAACGAUAGCUAAUACCGCAUAAAAUGGAUUAUCGCAUGAUAAUCCAUUGAAAGGUGCAAAUGCAUCACUACCAGAUGGACCUGCGUUGUAUUAGCUAGUUGGUGGGGUAACGGCUCACCAAGGCGACGAUACAUAGCCGACCUGAGAGGGUGAUCGGCCACACUGGGACUGAGACACGGCCCAGACUCCUACGGGAGGCAGCAGUAGGGAAUCUUCGGCAGUGGACGGAAGUCUGACCGAGCAACGCCGCGUGAGUGAAGAAGGUUUUCGGAUCGUAAAGCUCUGUUGUAAGAGAAGAACGAGUGUGAGAGUGGAAAGUUCACACUGUGACGGUAUCUUACCAGAAAGGGACGGCUAACUACGUGCCAGCAGCCGCGGUAAUACGUAGGUCCCGAGCGUUGUCCGGAUUUAUUGGGCGUAAAGCGAGCGCAGGCGGUUAGAUAAGUCUGAAGUUAAAGGCUGUGGCUUAACCAUAGUACGCUUUGGAAGCUGUUUAACUUGAGUGCAAGAGGGGAGAGUGGAAUUCCAUGUGUAGCGGUGAAAUGCGUAGAUAUAUGGAGGAGCACCGGUGGCGAAAGCGGCUCUCUGGCUUGUAACUGACGCUGAGGCUCGAAAGCGUGGGGAGCAAACAGG
RNAcentral lists this ribosomal RNA (765 nucleotides) under uncultured Streptococcus sp. Its description in RNAcentral is "bacterial SSU rRNA". It matches the Rfam family "Bacterial small subunit ribosomal RNA", at positions 28 to 776 of the family's 1533-position model. The record is from RNAcentral. Lineage: Bacteria; Bacillati; Bacillota; Bacilli; Lactobacillales; Streptococcaceae.